RNAcentral lists this long non-coding RNA (588 nucleotides) under Coturnix japonica (Japanese quail). Its description in RNAcentral is "lncRNA (ENSCJPG00005004609.1)". The record is from RNAcentral. Lineage: Eukaryota; Metazoa; Chordata; Aves; Galliformes; Phasianidae.
UAAUAGAUAUAUUUUUAUUUAUACUUUUAGGGGGUCUUCUUAGAAACAAAUUUGAUCCAAAUUGAAGCUGAGCCCGUGUGAUUAUACCUCAGAAACUUUUUUUUUUUUUUUAAAUGUAAUAAUUCUGAUAUUACUGAUAAUAGCUUAAAAGAAAAAGAAAUAGGAAAAUUGUUUUCUAAAAGGAAUUUGUUUGCCACUUUAAACAUGAGGAAGAAAUACAUUGAAAAUUGUCAGAAAUACAGCUACAAUAAAAUAAAUGAGGUCUUCUGAUUCUAUCCUCCUCAUCAAGCAGCGCUGCUGAGCACAGGUUGCUAAGGACAGUAUCCAAGUGGCUUCUAAGGAUCUCCAAGGAGGGUCAGAAUAGUUUCAAGGGGAGCAAGAAAAAACACAAAAGCAUUUGGCCACUGCUGAAGACCUAUGAGUGUUCUGAGUGGAAACUUCAACUGGACCCUGAAGAGUUCCAUCUCUCUCACAAAUGGAAACUGCAACUGCUAAAUGCAAUACCAGACAAAGCUUCAAUUCUAUGACAAGAUAUUAAAUGUUCCUCUUUAUUUUAGACUCUCUAAGGGAUGACUAUUUAAAGUUACC